RNAcentral lists this ribosomal RNA (447 nucleotides) under uncultured bacterium. Its description in RNAcentral is "partial 16S ribosomal RNA". It matches the Rfam family "Bacterial small subunit ribosomal RNA", at positions 29 to 523 of the family's 1533-position model. The record is from RNAcentral.
AACGAACGCUGGUGGCAGGCUUAACACAUGCAAGUCGAACGCCCCGCAAGGGGAGUGGCAGACGGGUGAGUAACGCGUGGGAAUCUACCGUACCCUACGGAACAACAGUUGGAAACGACUGCUAAUACCGUAUACGCCUCACGGGGGAAAGAUUUAUCGGGGUAUGAUGAGCCCGCGUUAGAUUAGCUAGUUGGUGGGGUAAAGGCCUACCAAGGCGACGAUCCAUAGCUGGUCUGAGAGGAUGAUCAGCCACAUUGGGACUGAGACACGGCCCAAACUCCUACGGGAGGCAGCAGUGGGGAAUAUUGGACAAUGGGCGCAAGCCUGAUCCAGCCAUGCCGCGUGAGUGAUGAAGGUCUUAGGAUUGUAAAGCUCUUUCACCGAUGAAGAUAAUGACGGUAGUCGGAGAAGAAGCCCCGGCUAACUUCGUGCCAGCCGCCGCAGUAA